This 1555-nucleotide ribosomal RNA is filed under the name Escherichia coli. RNAcentral's name for it is "bacterial SSU rRNA". It matches the Rfam family "Bacterial small subunit ribosomal RNA". The record is from RNAcentral. Lineage: Bacteria; Pseudomonadati; Pseudomonadota; Gammaproteobacteria; Enterobacterales; Enterobacteriaceae.
UUAAAUUGAAGAGUUUGAUCAUGGCUCAGAUUGAACGCUGGCGGCAGGCCUAACACAUGCAAGUCGAACGGUAACAGGAAGAAGCUUGCUUCUUUGCUGACGAGUGGCGGACGGGUGAGUAAUGUCUGGGAAACUGCCUGAUGGAGGGGGAUAACUACUGGAAACGGUAGCUAAUACCGCAUAACGUCGCAAGACCAAAGAGGGGGACCUUCGGGCCUCUUGCCAUCGGAUGUGCCCAGAUGGGAUUAGCUAGUAGGUGGGGUAACGGCUCACCUAGGCGACGAUCCCUAGCUGGUCUGAGAGGAUGACCAGCCACACUGGAACUGAGACACGGUCCAGACUCCUACGGGAGGCAGCAGUGGGGAAUAUUGCACAAUGGGCGCAAGCCUGAUGCAGCCAUGCCGCGUGUAUGAAGAAGGCCUUCGGGUUGUAAAGUACUUUCAGCGGGGAGGAAGGGAGUAAAGUUAAUACCUUUGCUCAUUGACGUUACCCGCAGAAGAAGCACCGGCUAACUCCGUGCCAGCAGCCGCGGUAAUACGGAGGGUGCAAGCGUUAAUCGGAAUUACUGGGCGUAAAGCGCACGCAGGCGGUUUGUUAAGUCAGAUGUGAAAUCCCCGGGCUCAACCUGGGAACUGCAUCUGAUACUGGCAAGCUUGAGUCUCGUAGAGGGGGGUAGAAUUCCAGGUGUAGCGGUGAAAUGCGUAGAGAUCUGGAGGAAUACCGGUGGCGAAGGCGGCCCCCUGGACGAAGACUGACGCUCAGGUGCGAAAGCGUGGGGAGCAAACAGGAUUAGAUACCCUGGUAGUCCACGCCGUAAACGAUGUCGACUUGGAGGUUGUGCCCUUGAGGCGUGGCUUCCGGAGCUAACGCGUUAAGUCGACCGCCUGGGGAGUACGGCCGCAAGGUUAAAACUCAAAUGAAUUGACGGGGCCCGCACAAGCGGUGGAGCAUGUGGUUUAAUUCGAUGCAACGCGAAGAACCUUACCUGGUCUUGACAUCCACGGAAGUUUUCAGAGAUGAGAAUGUGCCUUCGGGAACCGUGAGACAGGUGCUGCAUGGCUGUCGUCAGCUCGUGUUGUGAAAUGUUGGGUUAAGUCCCGCAACGAGCGCAACCCUUAUCCUUUGUUGCCAGCGGUCCGGCCGGGAACUCAAAGGAGACUGCCAGUGAUAAACUGGAGGAAGGUGGGGAUGACGUCAAGUCAUCAUGGCCCUUACGACCAGGGCUACACACGUGCUACAAUGGCGCAUACAAAGAGAAGCGACCUCGCGAGAGCAAGCGGACCUCAUAAAGUGCGUCGUAGUCCGGAUUGGAGUCUGCAACUCGACUCCAUGAAGUCGGAAUCGCUAGUAAUCGUGGAUCAGAAUGCCACGGUGAAUACGUUCCCGGGCCUUGUACACACCGCCCGUCACACCAUGGGAGUGGGUUGCAAAAGAAGUAGGUAGCUUAACCUUCGGGAGGGCGCUUACCACUUUGUGAUUCAUGACUGGGGUGAAGUCGUAACAAGGUAACCGUAGGGGAACCUGCGGUUGGAUCACCUCCUUACCUUAAAGAAGC